AGAGUUUGAUCAUGGCUCAGAGCGAACGCUGGCGGCAGGCUUAACACAUGCAAGUCGAGCGGGUGUAGCAAUACAUCAGCGGCAGACGGGUGAGUAACGCGUGGGAACGUACCUUUUGGUUCGGAACAACCCAGGGAAACUUGGACUAAUACCGGAUAAGCCCUUACGGGGAAAGAUUUAUCGCCGAAAGAUCGGCCCGCGUCUGAUUAGCUAGUUGGUGAGGUAAUGGCUCACCAAGGCGACGAUCAGUAGCUGGUCUGAGAGGAUGAUCAGCCACAUUGGGACUGAGACACGGCCCAAACUCCUACGGGAGGCAGCAGUGGGGAAUAUUGGACAAUGGGGGCAACCCUGAUCCAGCCAUGCCGCGUGAGUGAUGAAGGCCCUAGGGUUGUAAAGCUCUUUUGUGCGGGAAGAUAAUGACGGUACCGCAAGAAUAAGCCCCGGCUAACUUCGUGCCAGCAGCCGCGGUAAUACGAAGGGGGCUAGCGUUGCUCGGAAUCACUGGGCGUAAAGGGUGCGUAGGCGGGUCUUUAAGUCAGGGGUGAAAUCCUGGAGCUCAACUCCAGAACUGCCUUUGAUACUGAAGAUCUUGAGUCCGGGAGAGGUGAGUGGAACUGCGAGUGUAGAGGUGAAAUUCGUAGAUAUUCGCAAGAACACCAGUGGCGAAGGCGGCUCACUGGCCCGGUACUGACGCUGAGGCACGAAAGCGUGGGGAGCAAACAGGAUUAGAUACCCUAGUAGUCC
Molecule: ribosomal RNA, 744 nt
Filed under: uncultured bacterium
Lineage: Bacteria
Description: bacterial SSU rRNA
Rfam family: Bacterial small subunit ribosomal RNA
Source: RNAcentral